GACGAACGCUGGCGGCGUGCUUAACACAUGCAAGUCGAACGGAAAGGCCCUGCUUUUGUGGGGUGCUCGAGUGGCGAACGGGUGAGUAACACGUGAGUAACCUGCCCUUUACUUUGGGAUAACUUCAGGAAACUGUGGCUAAUACCGGAUAGGAGCUCCUGCUGCAUGGUGGGGGUUGGAAAGUUUCGGCGGUUGGGGAUGGACUCGCGGCUUAUCAGCUUGUUGGUGGGGUAGUGGCUUACCAAGGCUUUGACGGGUAGCCGGCCUGAGAGGGUGACCGGCCACAUUGGGACUGAGAUACGGCCCAGACUCCUACGGGAGGCAGCAGUGGGGAAUAUUGCACAAUGGGCGGAAGCCUGAUGCAGCAACGCCGCGUGCGGGAUGACGGCCUUCGGGUUGUAAACCGCUUUCGCCUGUGACGAAGCGUGAGUGACGGUAAUGGGUAAAGAAGCACCGGCUAACUACGUG
This 468-nucleotide ribosomal RNA is filed under the name uncultured bacterium. RNAcentral describes it as "partial 16S ribosomal RNA". It matches the Rfam family "Bacterial small subunit ribosomal RNA", at positions 28 to 507 of the family's 1533-position model. The record is from RNAcentral.